This 2248-nucleotide long non-coding RNA is filed under the name Homo sapiens (human). RNAcentral's name for it is "non-protein coding LINC02037:7". Lineage: Eukaryota; Metazoa; Chordata; Mammalia; Primates; Hominidae. The record is from RNAcentral.
CCAAAACUGAAGCCCUGAGCUGCUCUGCGGUGCUACCCUUUGUCCCUCCAGACUCUCUUUUCCUUCAUCUGUUUGUCAGUAAACCGAAGCCACCACAGUUUGUCAUUUGGAUGAUUUUCGAUGGAGAAGCUGCAGCUCCAGACUCUUGACAGCCGCACAACUUCCAAGGCAGUGGCCCCGCGGGCUGCAAACCCCACCUUCCUGCAGUUGCAGAGCCAGCUAAGAGGUGGGCAGCAUGCCAGGCCCCAUCAGCAGCCCCUGGAGCACACACCAAUUGCAGAUGCUCAGGAGACUCGGGGGAAGGAACGGGGUUUUCACCAGAACACCACAGGCAGGACCUCCCAGCAAAGGCCUCCAGAUGCUGUGAAAACCUAAGGCUCGUCCUCCUCCUGGCUUCCCAGGUUACCCAGCCACAACACACAGAUGCUGGGUCUGGGACGGCUCCACUGGAACCUGAGAUGACCUGAGGGUGUCCCAGUGAUAUAACAUAUGAGGAAAGCAGAAACAACUAAGAAAUAGACUCUGAAUGUGGCAGAUUCUAGAACUGAGAGGCGGAAGAGGAGCAGAUCUUCACUUUCCACACCUCAAGGUACUCAGCCAAUCACCUGUUCAUGCCUGAGAUUGUGAAUCCAAUAGGAAAGUACAAGGACAUGGAGAUUGUCAGAGCUGUUGUAUGAUGGUGGCAGCAGAGUCAAGAGUCCAGCGGAGAGGCAGCAAGCAUCCCAAGGAUCCCAUGACUGAGAACCAGCUUCUGUGGUUUAGAAGCAAGGCGCCAACUGGUAUGAGAAGCACAGACAGAUGGUGCCCUGGGAACACUGGCUGUCACGUGCUGGAGGAGGUUCCUCAGCAAGUCACCUUCCCUCCAUGGGCCUCUGUUGGAAAGAAGGCAUCAAGAUCAUUCCAGCUAUGAUUCCUGAGCUUUUAAUAUAUUCUUUCUGAUGAUUAAGAAAUAUAUCUGUCGAGCAUGGCAGCUUACGCCUGUAAUCCUAGCACUUUGUGAGGCCGAGGCGGGUGGAUCAUGAGGUCAGGAGUUCAAGACCAGCCUGACCAACAUGGUGAAACCUCGUGUCUACUAAAAAUACAAAAAUUAGCCGGGUGUUGUGGUGUGUGCUUGUAAUCCCAGCUACUCGGGAGGCUGAGGCAGGAGAAACACUUGAACCCGGGAGGCGGAGGUUGCAGUGAGCUGACAUCACGCCACUGCCCUCCAGCCUGGGUAACAGAGUGAGACUCCAUCUCAAAGAAAAAAAGAGAUAUAUCUGCAUGUGACAUGGAAAGAGGCUCAGAAUAUCAGACAUUUUACUACAGAUCUUGAAAACAGCUCUCCAAAACUAACUCCAGAUCCACCCUGGGGUUCUCAACUCCACAUGGUUUUCUAAAAUUGAGACCAAGACUAAGAUGAAGAGCUAUGCCUCGCCCUGAUGCUGCCAGGACUACUGUUCCCAUGACUACCUUGAGGUGCAGGCUGAGACCCUGGGUGUCUGUGGUGGCAGAGUACAGCAGAGGAGUUGGAGUCAAAGCAGUUUGGAUCCUCAUCCCAGCUGGGCCUCCUGAUGUUGGAGGGCCCUGGACAAAGGGUUUUCAUUUGCUGGGUCUCAGUUCUCCACAUGGACAACAAUGCACUGUAUGAGUUUUAAGGUUCUUUUCAGCUCUGACUCUCUGUGAGUCUGAAUCCAGUAGGAGCUAUUAUUUCCUUGAUUCCUCCUUACUGUUUUGUUCCCUUCUUCUCUGGUUUCUGUAUUAAAACUUUAUAUGUUUAUGAAUGGAUAAUCAAAAUGUGGUAUAUCCAUAUCAUGGAAUAUUAUACAGCCAUGAAAAGGAAUGAAGUACUGAUGCAUGCUACAACAUGGAUGAACCUUAAAAACACUAGGCUAAGUGAAAGAAGCCAGUCUCCAAAGACCAUAUGUGGUAUGAUUUCAUUGAUAUGAAAUGCUCAGAAUAGGCAGAUUUGUAGUGACAGAAAGUACAUUAGUGGCUGCCUAGGGCUAGGAAGAGAUGAGGAGUGACUCUCAAUGAGUACAGGAUUUCUUUUGGAAGUGAUGAAAAUGUUCAAAAAUUGAUUGCAGUGAUGGCUGUACAACUCUGUGAAUAUAUGAAAAACCCUUGAAUUAUACAAUUGAAAUUGGUGAAUUGUAUGGUAUAUGAAUUGUAUCUGAAUAAAGCUGUUAAAAAAACGGGGAAGAAGUUUAAGAGAAAUCCAAUAUAUUUUAAAGCUCUGCUCAUGGCAUUGGAGGUUAGCCUUGAAAAUUAA